CCUACGGGGGGCAGCAGUAGGGAAUAUUGCUCAAUGGGGGAAACCCUGACGCAGCAACGCCGCGUGGAGGAUGAAGGUUUUCGGAUUGUAAACUCCGUCAGUUAGAGAGGAUAUUGACGGUAUCUAACGAAUAAGCACCGGCUAACUCCGUGCCAGCAGCCGCGGUCAUACGUGGGAUCCGAGCAUUAUCCGGAGUGACUGGGUGUAAAGAGUUGCGUGGGUGGGAUAAUAAGUAGCUAGUAAAAUCUGGUGGCUCAACCAUUCAGACUAUUAGCUAAACUGUGAAGCUCGAGUGCGUUAGGGGUAAAUGGAAUUUCUAGUGUAGGAGUGAAAUCCGUAGAUAUUAGAAGGAACACCAAUAGCGUAGGCACGUUGCUGGGACGGUUUUGACACUAAGGCACGAAAGCGUAGGGAGCAAACGGGAUUAGAUACCCCAGUAGUC
This 442-nucleotide ribosomal RNA is filed under the name uncultured bacterium. Its description in RNAcentral is "partial 16S ribosomal RNA". It matches the Rfam family "Bacterial small subunit ribosomal RNA", at positions 338 to 795 of the family's 1533-position model. The record is from RNAcentral.